This 86-nucleotide transfer RNA is filed under the name Xenopus tropicalis (tropical clawed frog). RNAcentral's name for it is "Xenopus (Silurana) tropicalis (western clawed frog) tRNA". It matches the Rfam family "tRNA". Rfam says of the family: Transfer RNA (tRNA) molecules are approximately 80 nucleotides in length. Their secondary structure includes four short double-helical elements and three loops (D, anti-codon, and T loops). Further hydrogen bonds mediate the characteristic L-shaped molecular structure. tRNAs have two regions of fundamental functional importance: the anti-codon, which is responsible for specific mRNA codon recognition, and the 3' end, to which the tRNAs corresponding amino acid is attached (by aminoacyl-tRNA synthetases). tRNAs cope with the degeneracy of the genetic code in two manners: having more than one tRNA (with a specific anti-codon) for a particular amino acid; and 'wobble' base-pairing, i.e. permitting non-standard base-pairing at the 3rd anti-codon position. The record is from Rfam by way of RNAcentral. Lineage: Eukaryota; Metazoa; Chordata; Amphibia; Anura; Pipidae.
GGCUCUGUGGCGCAAUGGAUAGCGCAUUGGACUUCUAGAUGAGGAAAGGUAUUCAAAGGUUGUGGGUUCGAGUCCCACCAGAGUCG